CUGCGCGCUCCCGCGCGUCUGUGAUUCGGCUGAAGAAAGGUGAUUUAAGUCCAUUAUCUCUCUGACUGACUCCCUCACCAGUGUGCAGAAACUACUGAAAUAGGGAGCAGAUUGAGACGCAGACAGAGAUUUAGUUUGGACUUAUUUUUGUUAAUUGUUCUCAUCUUAAACAGAAAAAUUCAACAGAUCCACGUGACACACAUUAUAAAGAUGGCCUUUAUUAAAGAGGAGCAUGAAGACAUGAAGAUUGAAGAAACAUUCAGAGUCAAACAUGAAGAUACUGAGAAACAAACAGACCUGAAAGUGAAGAGUGAAGAACUGAAUGAAAUACAAGAUAA
This is a long non-coding RNA of Cyprinus carpio (common carp), 338 nucleotides long. RefSeq lists it as uncharacterized. NCBI's taxonomy places the organism in Eukaryota, Metazoa, Chordata, Actinopteri, Cypriniformes, Cyprinidae. The transcript is spliced from 3 exons. The record is from RefSeq and is a predicted model, not a curated record.